GUCGAGCGGAUGACAGGAGCUUGCUCCUGAAUUCAGCGGCGGACGGGUGAGUAAUGCCUAGGAAUCUGCCUGGUAGUGGGGGACAACGUUUCGAAAGGAACGCUAAUACCGCAUACGUCCUACGGGAGAAAGCAGGGGACCUUCGGGCCUUGCGCUAUCAGAUGAGCCUAGGUCGGAUUAGCUAGUUGGUGAGGUAAUGGCUCACCAAGGCGACGAUCCGUAACUGGUCUGAGAGGAUGAUCAGUCACACUGGAACUGAGACACGGUCCAGACUCCUACGGGAGGCAGCAGUGGGGAAUAUUGGACAAUGGGCGAAAGCCUGAUCCAGCCAUGCCGCGUGUGUGAAGAAGGUCUUCGGAUUGUAAAGCACUUUAAGUUGGGAGGAAGGGCAGUAACCUAAUACGUUGCCGUCUUGACGUUACCGACAGAAUAAGCACCGGCUAACUCUGUGCCAGCAGCCGCGGUAAUACAGAGGGUGCAAGCGUUAAUCGGAAUUACUGGGCGUAAAGCGCGCGUAG
This 518-nucleotide ribosomal RNA is filed under the name Pseudomonas sp. RNAcentral's name for it is "bacterial SSU rRNA". It matches the Rfam family "Bacterial small subunit ribosomal RNA", at positions 61 to 574 of the family's 1533-position model. The record is from RNAcentral. Lineage: Bacteria; Pseudomonadati; Pseudomonadota; Gammaproteobacteria; Pseudomonadales; Pseudomonadaceae.